This 490-nucleotide ribosomal RNA is filed under the name Ravinia querula. RNAcentral's name for it is "partial 16S ribosomal RNA". It matches the Rfam family "Bacterial large subunit ribosomal RNA", at positions 1852 to 2598 of the family's 2925-position model. Lineage: Eukaryota; Metazoa; Arthropoda; Insecta; Diptera; Sarcophagidae. The record is from RNAcentral.
AGUCUACCUGCCCACUGAAUAAAUUUAAAUGGCCGCAGUAUACUAACUGUGCAAAGGUAGCAUAAUCAUUAGUCUUUUAAUUGAAGGCUGGUAUGAAUGGUUGGACGAGAUAUUAACUGUUUCAUAAAAGUUUAUAAUAGAAUUUUAUUUUUUAGUCAAAAAGCUAAAAUAAAAUUAAAAGACGAGAAGACCCUAUAAAUCUUUAUAUAUAAAUUAUUAGAAUUUUAUAGAUUUUUUUUAUUAUAAUAAUUAAUUAUAUUUUAUUGGGGUGAUAUUAAAAUUUAAAAAACUUUUAAUUAUUAAAAUCAUUAAUUUAUGAAUAAUUGAUCCGUUAAUAACGAUUAAAAAAACAAGUUACUUUAGGGAUAACAGCGUAAUUUUUUUGGAGAGUUCAUAUCGAUAAAAAAGAUUGCGACCUCGAUGUUGGAUUAAGAUAUAAUUUUAGGUGUAGUCGCUUAAAUUUUAAGUCUGUUCGACUUUUAAAUUCUUA